ACAUACGACCAUACCCACUGGAGAACUCGGGAUCCCGUCCGCUCUCCCAUAGAUAAGCCAGUGAGGGCCGGAUUAGUAGUUGAGUCGGUGACGAUCAGCGAAUACCUGGUGUUGUAUGUU
Molecule: ribosomal RNA, 120 nt
Organism: Colletotrichum incanum
Lineage: Eukaryota; Fungi; Ascomycota; Sordariomycetes; Glomerellales; Glomerellaceae
Source: Rfam